AGACAAACCAAGACUGUUCAUCAAGAUCUAAUGCCGUCCUGGAUAGAGUGAACUCAUUGCACUGCUCUAUGCUGGGCGGCACAGAGACAGUGGCAGAGGGAGCACCCUCCUGCUUUGUGAACCCACACACAACGUGGACGAUUUAGUCUCCCUCCAGCUGAGAAGACCGUGCCGCACACCCAGCGCCUUCUGAAGCACGUUGUUAACCGCGAUCCCCCACUUACGAAUGACACCUCCGCUCCUCCCAGACCGAGAGGACAGGACACGGUACACCACACACGAUGGAGAAACGGAGAGCGGAGAGCUCCUUGCCACAGAUCGCAACCCGACUCAGCCACAGACUUAGUAGAAACCUUAAUUUCCGUCCCAUGCUCUAAUUAUGGGAUGUUUCCUCCCACCUCGCUGUUACUUUUGUGGAGAUGAAGUAAUCUCCCUCGCGCCAUCCUACGGAGCCUCCUGUGUGCGUGCGGCCGUGGCUGAGUGCCAGGAGGGGGUUGGAGACAUGAAUGAAAUCCGGAGCUGUGCUUGAGGUUUGCCGGCUGAGCGUAGCUGGGGUGUGACACAAAGCUGCUCACGGGGUCCGCGUGUGUACGGCUCUGCUGGCCUCUGAUGCUCUGCUACUGCAGUUCGUAAAGAUUUUUUCAGGUUCCCAGCAGAAAAUGGGCCAAAUUUCUGAAUUUUGCACGUGAUAAAUCCUGUACAGAAAUACAAGCCUGAAAGGCCAUUCUGCAGGUAUAUUUUUCUGAUAAAAUAUGAUAUGUUUACUUGCACAGAAGAUUCUGGAGGAACAGACAGUGUCACUUUCCUGUAUAUGUUUCACUAAACCCUCGUGACGUGACCUGUAAGUGGGAUGGCGUGGUUUUGUCUGGUCAUCUCACUCAAUUUGCUUGACCUGUCUGGUGGCCUUCUGUGAUGGACCAGUGGCACUAGUGGAUGAAAGAAAAGCAAGUGAUGUCUUCUACUUGGGCUUGUGCAAGGCCUUUGACAUGGUCCUGCACCAUGGUCCUUAUCUCUAAACUGGAGAUGUGUGGAUUUGAAGGCUGAAGUAUUCAGUGGAUAAAGAGUUGGUUGGAUGGACACAGAGAGCUGUGGUCAAGGGCUCUGUGCCCAGGUGGAGGCCGGUCAUGAGUGGUGUCCCCCAGGGGUCCAUUUUGGGAUUGGUGCACUUCAGUGUUUUUAUCAACAGCAUCAACAGUGGGAUUGAGUGUACCCUCAACAAGUUUGAUGACAUCAAGCUGAGUGCUGCAAUUGAUAGACUAGGAGGAAGUGAUGCUGUCCAGAGGGACCUAGACAUGCUUGAAAAGUGGGCCUAUGAGAACUGGAUGAUGUUGAACAAGGCCAAAUACAAGAUAGUGCAUAUGGAUCAUGGCUAUCCCAGAUACAAGUACAGAGUGGGAGAACUCAUCGAGAGCAGCCCUGCAGAGAAGGACUUAGAGGUCCUGAUGGACAGAAAACUGGACAUGAGCCAGCAGUGUGUGCUUGCAGCCAAGAACAGCAACAGCAUCUUGGGCUGCGUCAGCAGAGGGGUGGACAGGAGGAAGAAGGAGGAGAUUGCCCCCCCUCUACUCUGCUCUCAUGAGGCCCCAUGAGCUCACUGUGCCCAGGCCCAGGGCCCCCAGUACAGGAGGAAUGUGGAGCUGUUGGAGUGGGUCCAGGGGAGGGCCAUGAAGAUAGUCACAGGCUGGAGUGCCUCUCCUGUGAAGAAAGUUUGAGUGAGUUGAGCUUGUUCGGCUUGGAGAAGGCUCCAGGGAGACCUCAUUGUGGCCUUCCAGUACUUGGAGAGAGCCUAUAAGCAAUGGGGAGACAAACUUUACACAGUCUAAUAGUGAUAGGACAAGGGGGAAUGCUUCUAAACUAAAAGAGGAGAAAUGAUAUCAAGAAGAAAUUCUUCACUCAGAGGAUUGUGAUGCACUGGGACAGGCUGCCCAGAGAAGUUGUGGAUGCUCCAUCCCUGGAGGUGUUCAAGGCCAGGUUGGAUGCGGCCCUGGGCAGCCUGAUCUGGUGAGUGGCAUCCAUCCCAUGGCAGAGAGGUUGGAACCAAAUGAUCUUUAAUGUCACUUCCAACCCAAGCCAUUCUAGUAUUCUGUUUCAAUACAAGAUCUGUUCAGUUUAUGAGUGUGUCUCAUCCUGAGUUUGCAUAAACGUGAUUUCAGAGGGUUCACUGCAUGGUGGUAGCUUUCUCUGCUUCAUUACUGUGCAGAGAGGUUUUGAGACCACUACUAACAAUAAUGAAAAUGUUUAUACCUUUAGUCCCAGACAUGUUGAUGCUACUUCAGAAACAUUGGAGUGUUGUCCAAAUGUAACAAAGAGUAUUAAUUUGGAAGAGGAAACCAGUGAAAGGAAGAGUAAAGAAUUAAGACUAAGACACUUGCGGUGCUACUUCGCUGCUUAUUAUGGGAGCCCUUGCCAGUGACUGAGGAGUGUAUGAGUCAGUUAAAAGCACCACGAUGCUGCAGAGAAUGGUUUGCAAUUAUAAGAGAGAGAGUAGAAUUGAUUUCCACUGUACUUACAGUCACAAGAGAGUUGCACAUUAAGUUUUUUUCCUUUGUAAACUAUAGUUCACAGUAAGUUUGUCUAAGGGAUCUUUUGGACCCUACCUCCUUUUUCAAGUUAUGUAACUCGUAGUAUCUUUGUAAUUGAUUAAAACUGAUUACAAGCAUGGGUUAAGUUUGCUCAAAUACGAGCUUAAAUGAAAUGAGCUGCUUGAUGUCACUGCAUUGCUCAUUGGCAAAACCCCAUUUCCUCUCCAUUGACUUUAGUAGCAAAUUGCUUCCAAAUUAAAAUAGAAGCGUGGGAGUCAGAAUCGAAGAUUUUUCAGUCUUGUGAUCACAAACCCUUAAUGCAGCAGUGUGGUACCUGCAAGGGAGAGUCGCAGGAGCUGCUGGUCUUCUCUCAAUAGGACAGUCAGGCCAGGACAUCAUCUGCGCCCAGAACUCCCCACACCUCUCUUUGCCCUCACAUUUUUUUCACCACUGCACGUUCACAACUUUCCCACAUCUCUGUUCUUCAGAUUUUGCAAAAAUUCGGGGUUUCAGUGGCUUGCUGGGACUUUCAUAUGUUGCACAACCCUUUCCUGGUAAGGAAAUGGAGGAAGAAAUUGUAAUUUAUAACUGUCAGUGCACUCAUGAGUGUAGUGUUUGUGUCAGUACAAUGUAAUAAUACAGAAUCAGAUAAGUUUGUAAACAGUACUUCUUCUCUUACAACCAUCCACCCUCCUGUACGUAUGAACUCUGAUUUCCCUUCAAUCUGCUUUAUGAAGCUGGCAAAUCAGACUUGCUUUUGCAACUUUGCAUCACAACUGCCUCUUCUGGUGUUUUGUUUUUAAAUCAAAGAAAUACACAUUUCAGAGUUUCUUUACCUUCUCAGUUAUGCUGGGUGUUUAGUCUGCUCUUUCUGCCCUCCUUUUAGUAGCUACAGAUGUUUUCCACUUGUGUUAUUUUCUGCUUGUUGUUUCUGCAUGGAGAAUACCUCUUCUUUUCCUGUCCAACAAGCUGCCCUGCUUGGCAGCCCAAGGUGCUUGAAGCCCCUUGGCCCGGGAAAGCUGUGUUUCAUGCAUUCCUUCACAGAACCCGCUUCUCUCAGGUGGCCCCUGCUCAGUGCUCCCUCAAUCUGGCUCAUUCACAUCAAGCAUGCUGGAGAAGAUAAUGGAUUUCAGAAGAAUCAGUGAGUGCUUGUUGCCUUUACCUUCUAACUGCUGGUUUUCUCUGUUAUUAAGUUUGCUACCUACUGGCAACCUGCUUCAGUCUUCUGAGUACCUUUUGCAAGUAGACCCUCACCCAGUCACGGUCCCUGUUUCCAAACUGACGUCCUUAACACGUGGUGAUGUUUCAUCAGCUCUCACUUUAACCUCCCACUGACAUUAUUUUCUCUUCUCAGCCACCACAUUCUGUCCAGUUACUUUUCCAUCUCAGAUCCUUGUGCUGCUUCUGCUGUGAUUUGCGUAGAAAAGCCUACAUACUUUGUGACAAAGCUGCUACGACAAUGUACGUUUUGUUAAUUUAUGUUACCACAGCAACUGAGUCAUGCGAAAAUGUAAUGUCACGUUGUUUGAUGCUGUAUCUCAGUGUGCUCAGGGAAACGGGCUCUGUGUAGAGCUGCUGUGAAACUGGGGCUGAACUGGUUGGGUAUCAUUUCUGUAGUGUGGGUGUCGGGGGUUGUGGCAGAAUGGAUGCAACCUGUAGGAUCCUCCAGCAAUCCAAACCUGGUUCUGCUCUGUUCUGGGAGGAAAUGCAGAUAUGCUGGAGGAGGGGGCUUAGGUCUUGACAAACACAAAUCUGGUCCAGGAAACAAGGCACAGCCUGGGGGGACAAAAGCAGGCUGUUGAACUCAGACAGGUGUUAAAAAUCAGACAAACUCAGGGAUAGGAGCAACUGGUGAAAAAGUGACUGUCAGAAAGAGGUGUGGAGUUGACUGUAAGUCACAAGCUGAACAUGAAUCAGCAACAUGUGUUUGUAGGGAAAAUAGUAAAAAUCCCAGGCAGAUAUGCAUGCGGGAAGAGAUCCAUGCUCAGCGCAGUGUUGUAGAUCGGUAUCAGAGCUGGGUUUGUGCACCAGAGCCCAGAAGGUUGUGAACCAACAGGAGACAGUGCAGGUGGCAGUAACAGUGAGCAGAGGGCUGAGGAGACCAAAUGGGCUGGAGCUGCUGGGUAAAGAGGGCAGAGGAAACAUGCUAAGAGACUUCAUGUGCUUAAAAAGCCAUUGAGAGAGGAAGGGAAUGAUCUACUCUUGGUAGAUAAAGUAAGCUGUAAUGGACUUAAAUUUCAUCAUGGAAGAAAAGCUUUUUUAAUGGUAACAUUAGUGAGGCACAGCGUUAUGUUGCUGAGAGUAUAGUUGUGUCUCCAUUACUGCAUGUCUUUAAGUAUGUACUGGACAAGUAGAAAGUACUAUUGAUCUGACGUUGGAUUUGGAGGAUGGAUGAGAUGACCAAUCAAGAUCCAUCCCAGCCCUAUCUUGCUGUGAUUGCACGUACUCCGAGGCUCCUCAUUAAUCACCAUUCCUUUACCCAGUCCCAUUUUACAUUGUCUUCUUUCUAAGUAAUGCCCUCCAAAGUCAUUCCUGUGUCCUGUGCAAAAAAUAUUUUGUCCCAUUUUCCUCAGGGUGUAGUCAAAGACUCGAGCCUUUCUUUUCCUGGCAGCCUGCCACAGACCCAGGUUGGUGACUUGUAUUGCAGUGAGUUGCUGAGGUAACUGAUAAUUUACUGUGAGUCAAACAUACAAAAAAUUAUUUAGAUGGCUGUUUCAGUCUGUUCAAACCCUACACAAUAUUAACAUGAAUUUAGGCUCUUCAGACAUAUACUCGAUAAAAUUACUCCAUUUGUAAAAUGUAUUUGUAACCCAAAACUCAUCUCAUGCUCACUAUCUUAAUUUCCUCUGUUUUCACUACCAGGAACCCAUAGAGGCUUCAGUGAACAGUGCCAUGUUCUUUAUUUUCUAGGCAAGACUUUUUUUUUUUUCUUUUUUCAGUGAUGUAUGUUAAAAAAUGUAGUUUAAUACCCAGGUAUACAUUUCAAUUUAACACAAAUACCUUAUAUGGUGAACAGUGGGCAUUUGUUUACUUGUUAGAUCCGAUCAACAGACAGCAUGCCUGAUAGGUUUUCUGUUUUUCUCCCCGUAUUAUCUAGUCUAAUUAGAUAUUGCUUCUUUCUACAAACUGUUGCUGUUACAGGCUUAAAUCAACAUGUCACUGAGAGUGGACUCACAGACGUUUUGGGCACCCUGGAAUAAAAAGGUUAUGGUAGUAAUCGCUAGUGCUUAAUGCAUUGCUUUUAGAGCUUUUAAAGACAGCGUACAUCAGGAGUUUAAACUUGCCUUUUUCCCUCUUAAAGAUAACUUUGCAAAUUGGAUAGUCAUUUUAUCCUUUAAAGAAUGAGGAUUUUCUUCCUGUACUCGAUGCCCAUUAAAGAUUAGAAGUGUGCUUUUGCACACAUGGCAUGUAUUGCCUGUUUCAUUUACCUGCACAGGCCCAUAUGCUUGCACUUGUGCUGAUCGCUGUAUUCAUACUUUAGUGGAAAAAGAAGCAGGGAAUAAAGUGGCAAAAUGUCAUGA
Long non-coding RNA from Gallus gallus (chicken), 6043 nucleotides. RefSeq lists it as uncharacterized. The transcript has 2 exons. NCBI's taxonomy places the organism in Eukaryota, Metazoa, Chordata, Aves, Galliformes, Phasianidae. The record is from RefSeq and is a predicted model, not a curated record.